UACGUAGGUCGCAAGCGUUGUCCGGAUUUACUGGGCGUAAAGAGCGCGCAGGCGGCUGGUCAAGUCCGAUGUGAAAUCUCCCGGCUCAACUGGGAAACUGCGUCGGAAACUGAUCGGCUUGAAGGUGGGAGAGGGUAGUGGAAUUCCCGGUGUAGUGGUGAAAUGCGUAGAUAUCGGGAGGAACACCAGCGGCGAAGGCGGCCCCCUGGGCCGCUCCUGACGCUGAGACGCGAAGGCCAGGGUAGCGAACGGG
This 253-nucleotide ribosomal RNA is filed under the name uncultured bacterium. Its description in RNAcentral is "partial 16S ribosomal RNA". It matches the Rfam family "Bacterial small subunit ribosomal RNA", at positions 524 to 776 of the family's 1533-position model. The record is from RNAcentral.